GAGGGGCCGGCGACCUUUGACCUUUCUCCAAAGGGGUUGGUCACCUGGAUUAUAAAAGACUUCGGAGACAGCCAUCCAGUGUUUGUUGAUCUGUAUCCCUUGAUGUUCUGUCUUCCAUUAGAUAAGGGCUGUUAAUUCUUGGUUUGAAAAAAAACAGACAAAGUCCAAAGGACUCUGCAUCGAGGAGAGGCCUAUGGGACCACCUGGCUUCAUGUGUGGAUUUCCACGGCUCUUGCCCAGAGGCGGGUACACUGUGUUCCAAUGUGCCACGGAACUCACGCAGUGGCACUUUGUGGCUUCAUGAAGGAAGAGGCAGGCCACGCAACACUUCCUCCCCAAGCCAAGGAGAAGUAUCACUUUUAGAGGCAGAGGAGCGGAAGGCAGUGGGUGUGACCAAAAGUGCCAUUUGUUAAAGUCUCCUCCAAUCUGAAAUAGUUCCUCAGUUUUUCCUC
Molecule: long non-coding RNA, 452 nt
Filed under: Homo sapiens (human)
Lineage: Eukaryota; Metazoa; Chordata; Mammalia; Primates; Hominidae
Description: non-protein coding lnc-IGSF11-4:5
Source: RNAcentral